RNAcentral lists this non-coding RNA (45 nucleotides) under Schistosoma margrebowiei. Lineage: Eukaryota; Metazoa; Platyhelminthes; Trematoda; Strigeidida; Schistosomatidae. The record is from RNAcentral.
AUCCGGCUGACGAGUCUCGAAUAGGACGAAACGAGCGUUCUUGAU